GACGAGCGCUGGCGGCGUGCUUAACACAUGCAAGUCGAACGGACUACUUUGCUUCGGUAAGGUGGUUAGUGGCGAACGGGUGAGUAACGCGUAGACAACCUACCUCUUAGAUGGGGACAACAUCGCGAAAGCGGUGCUAAUACCGAAUGAAGUGACUUUCCUGCAUGGGAGAGAUACUAAAGGUGGCCUCUAUUUAUAAGCUACCACUGAGAGAUGGGUCUGCGUCUGAUUGGCUAGUUGGCGGGGUAACGGCCCACCAAGGCGACGGUCAGGAGCCGGUCUGAGAGGAUGAACGGCCACAUUGGGACUGAGACGCGGCCCAAACUCCUACGGGAGGCAGCAGUGGGGAAUCUUCCGCAAUGGACGAAAGUCUGACGGAGCAACGCCGCGUGAGUGAAGAAGGUUUUCGGAUCGUAAAGCUCUGUUGUUUGAGACGAAUGUGCCUGUUUCGAAUAGGGAUAGGUAAUGACGGUAUUAAACGAGAAAGCCACGGCUAACUACGUGCCAGCAGCCGCCGUAA
RNAcentral lists this ribosomal RNA (520 nucleotides) under uncultured bacterium. Its description in RNAcentral is "partial 16S ribosomal RNA". It matches the Rfam family "Bacterial small subunit ribosomal RNA", at positions 28 to 523 of the family's 1533-position model. The record is from RNAcentral.